This 262-nucleotide unclassified non-coding RNA is filed under the name Bombus terrestris (buff-tailed bumblebee). Its description in RNAcentral is "misc RNA ENSBTSG00005034774.1". The record is from RNAcentral. Lineage: Eukaryota; Metazoa; Arthropoda; Insecta; Hymenoptera; Apidae.
GGCGAAACGUAGUAACUUCUUGCGGGAACGCUCGAUCCUUAUACCAAGGAGAACGAGGAACACGUAGCAGACUGGCUGCCCGUGCAACAUUGAUGAGACAUUACGACCGAUGUCGGUGGGCCGGGAUAUAUGAUUGCAGACACACCAAAUUUUUGCGCUACAUGCCCUCAACUAACGUUUUACACACUCGAGCUAGCAGGAAAACGCGGAAGAAGAACGUUGAAGAAGCGGCAGGCCGUUGCCUCGACAGGGCAAGGUGCAU